GAGGCUGUAGCUCAGUGGCAGAGGGCUUGCCUAGGAUGUGUGAGGUACUGGGUUCCAUCCGCAGCACCUCA
RNAcentral lists this transfer RNA (71 nucleotides) under Marmota monax (woodchuck). Its description in RNAcentral is "tRNA.Pro". The record is from RNAcentral. Lineage: Eukaryota; Metazoa; Chordata; Mammalia; Rodentia; Sciuridae.